Long non-coding RNA from Nylanderia fulva, 948 nucleotides. RefSeq lists it as uncharacterized. Lineage: Eukaryota; Metazoa; Arthropoda; Insecta; Hymenoptera; Formicidae. The record is from RefSeq and is a predicted model, not a curated record.
CCUUCUACACUCGGGAUUGCAUUGUCGUCUACAUUUUCAAUGAAAUAUACGAAAAUCGAUGUUUUAACGAAAUAUCGCAAAAGUGAUAACGAAAACGUGAUUAAGUAAUCACAGAGUGCAUGAAACAAUUAAACAAUUGGUAAUGCAAAUGUAACAAGUGCACUCACCAGUGAUGAAUCCUACAGAGGGGUGGAGAGGAGGAGGGACACUUGCGGAUUCACUCCACUUUAGGCUGAUCGAAAGACAUACAAAUCACUUAAUGGACACUCGCGGCACUUGCAUCAGCAGGAUCGCGAAUCACUCACAAAAUUCACUCAAAAUGCAUACCACCGACACGAUUGCGGACACGAAGACGAAGUUGAGGCGCGUAACUGACUGAAUCUCGCGUUUGAAUAUCUUGAGUUAUUGAACUCGCGCUGUGAUUGGCCGAGCGUCACGCCGUAAUCUUAAGUAACGCUGAGCUGUCAUUGGCCAAGCGUCGCGUCGUAAUCGUAAGCAGCGCUCAGCUGUUAUUGGCCAAUCUUCGCGCCUAAAUUUUAAACGAGCCUAAAUUAAUCAUCCUAAAUGUUUAAAUUUCGCUAAUGAUACAAGAGCGUGAGAUAUCCGCAAAAUGUAAAUAAUCUCGUUUUGUUUCGAAAAAUGGAAAAAUCUUGCACGAAUAAUAUUCCAAUAAAAAUUUGCUGCAUAUUCAAAGAUUUCAGAGAUAUCUAUCCUUUUCAUCUGAAUUAUAUGCGUGCGAUUAUUUCUUCUACAAUUGCACACGUAUUUAGAAAUACUCGAUAUAUAUGUCAUGAUAGUGUUAUCAUUAAAAAUCUAAUUCGUUUACACGACCUUCGGUAGCCGUGAUCGUCUAGUGGUUAGGACCCUACGUUGUGGCCGUAGUAACCCAGGUUCGAAUCCUGGUCACGGCAAUGUAUAAAAACAUUGUCACGGCGAAGGUAUUUUUUU